This 4668-nucleotide long non-coding RNA is filed under the name Brassica napus (rape). RNAcentral's name for it is "long non-coding RNA (BNAP_LNC005943)". The record is from RNAcentral. Lineage: Eukaryota; Viridiplantae; Streptophyta; Magnoliopsida; Brassicales; Brassicaceae.
CUAAAGUAAUUGAGUCAAUCGAAAAAAAAAAGAAAAAGAAAAAGAAAGAGAAGCUAAACUAAAAGAAUCGGAGUAUUAAAUGUUUGGAGUAUCUCCAAUGAGGAUCAAUAUCUAGCCAUCCACCUCACUAAAAAUAAUCGACUAAUCAGAAUACAAAUUAAGUAAAUGUUAUUUUCUAUUUAAAUAAUAGACUAUUUAUCUAUACUAUUAUUUGCGAAGUAAAUUUUUGGAAUCGAGCUCUCACGUUAAAAAGUUAGAUUGGUUAAUAUCGUUUACACCAUUAAUGAAUAAAAUGUAUAAUUAAAUUAAAAAAUAGAUACAAAAUUUUAAUUUAUUUGAUUAGAUAAUUGAUUACAAUUAAUAAUAGUAAGAAUUAUCCAUAAUCUGAAAAUAUAAUUUUAAAAAGAGAUAAUUUCUGUAAAUAUUGUAUUGUUAUCUGAAAAAGUCUUUUAAUAAAAAGUUAAAAAAUGAAUUAUAUAACUAAAUAAUAAUCAAAUAAAAUUUUUAAUUAUAUAAUUAAAAAUAGAAUAUUGAAUUAUCCAAAAUCUAAAAAUAUAAUUAAAAAAAGAUAAUUUCUAUAUAUAUAUAUAUAUUGUAUUGUUAUCUGAAAAAGUAUUUUAGGAAAAAGUUAGAACAUAAAUUAUAUAGUUAAAUAUUAAUAAAAUAAUAUUUUUAAUUACUAUUAUUUGGGAAGUAAAUUUUUGGAAUCGGGAUCUCAAGUUAAAAGUUAGAGUGAUUAAUAUCGUUUAUAUCCUUAAUGAAUAAAAUGUAUAACUAAAUUAAAAAAAUAAAAACGAAAUUUUAAUUUAUUUGAUUAGAUAAUUGAUUAAAAUUAAUAAUAGUAAACAAUUAUCCAAAAUCUAAAAAUAUAAUUUAAAAAGAGAUAAUUUUUGUAAAUAUUGUAUUGUUAUGUGAAAAAAAAAUAUUUUAAAAAGAGAUAUUUUAUGUAAAUAUUAUAUUGUUAUCUGAAAAAGUCUUUUAGUAAAAAGUUAAAAACAUGAAUUAUAUGACUAAAUAUUAAUCAAAUAAAAUUAUUAAUUAAAUAAUUAAAAAUAGAAUAUUGAAUAAUCCAAAAUCUAAAUAUAUAUUUAAAAAAAAAGAUAAUUUCUAUAUAUAUAUUGUAUUGUUAUCUAUAAUCAUGAAAAUAGAUCAUGUUAGAUCUAUGUCAGUGUACCUACCGAUCCUAAAUACUAUGACCUAGCUGAAUUGUGGAGGCAAGUAAGACUUUGGAGGUCUGAAAAUAGCAAGCAUCCAUGGUACGAUGCACCUGCUAAGGUGAAGGUAAUAGCAAAGAAUCAAACAUAAUCUCAAUACUCUUGGAUAUAUAAUUUUUGUUUAUUUUAUAGGAAAUGCUAGAACUUAGGAAAAAAUAAUUUUAAAACGUCUUUACAUAUUUUUUGUGAAGAUGAAAACAAGAAAGGGUCUUUGCCAUUUAAACAUAGACUUCACAUUGGGAUGGCCUCCUCAAGCAGUCUACGAGAUGUUCACUAAUCCAAGAAACCUGAAUUUCUUCCAUUCAAUGGCAAGUACCUAUGGCGCACACGUUUGGUUUGUUUUAUUCACUAGUUGUAUGAUUCGAAUUUAAGAAUCAAUUGAUAGUAAUUGAGAAUGUGGUCUUUUUAAUUCUUUUGAAGGACACAAUAGCAACAAUGGUUUUAAAGAAGGAUGGACCAAGGCAGAUCACGGACGUGGAAAAAGUUUUGAGAUGGAAGAUACUUGGGUAUAAUGGGACUAUCCCAAUACAUGUAAUAAUCGAUGAAAAACAUCAAAAAGUUACAGUAAGAAAGCUUCUCUAUUUUCCUCACAAGAACCUUUGUAUUUCGUUCAUUUUUGGGUGCACUAAUUUGUGUUCUUGCUAUAGGCAGCAUAUAAGAAAGUGAAAGUGAAGUACAUGAAAGUUUUUGAGGGUAGCUGGAAAAUGGAGUCAUUGUACGUAGAUCAGCAACGGUUGUGCAAGUCUAGGUCGCGGAUUAGUGAAGAAGAGUACAAAAAAUGUAGCGGCGGUAAAGGAAGGAUUGGGUCAAAGGUGACAAUGGAGCAUAUAUUUCAACCCUCUUCUCUUCUUAAUGUGCCACCAGUUUCUUGGUUCAUCCGUGGUAUCGCCGUCAAAGUCACCAAGGCUCUGCUCCAAGAUCUUAGAGAAUAUGUAAUCAGGAUGAACAAAAUGAAGGGUGCUGGCGAAAAAUAAACAAAAAGAAUCAAAGUAUUAAAUGUUUGGAUUAUAGUCAAUGAGGAUCAACAUCUAGUCAUCCACGUCACUAGAGAUAAUCGACCAAUUAGAAUACAAUUUAUGAAAAAUGUCAUUUUCUAAUUAAUUAGAAAGUAAUUCAUUAGUUUAAUAUUUAUUCUUUUCCUAAGUCGUACACUACAUCAUGCCUUUUUCAAGACUGUAAGUCUAUAACCUCUGGAUGACGAUUCACUCUCAUAUUCUCCUUCAUCAGUGUAUAUAUAUAUAGGGCUCUCCCAACUUACCCGUCAAUAUCUUCAUCCCUCCCAUUCCACAAAUACUUGCGCAAGAAUGGUUCUCUGGAUCCUUAUAUUUUCCCUAGCGUUUAUAUGUCUAGUUAAACACAUAUCAAUAACUAUUUGAAUCCCAAAUUACACAAAGGUACGAGAUAAGAUAACUAUUUGAAUUCCUAGUAACGUUAAAACUGGUGAGGGAGAGUUUCUGGAUAGACGUAGCUUCUUGGAUGGUUUCGGGAAGUUCCCAAUGAGAGAACGGAUUGUUCUCGCGAACAGUGUCGAUGAGAAUUUGGUGAUGAUUCAGCGCGACCGAGUGAGACCAGAGAGAUCAGGAAGAGCCGUGAGGUUGUGAAGAUCGACAGAAAUAUUUCCACGAAUCCCUUUGGUUUUUUUCAGUUGGUUAGCUACAUCUAUGAGUUUAAAGAUUCCGUGACAGGCAUCAUUCUACAAUUUAUUGAACAUUUUGGUCUCCUCUUUCAUCAGGAAGAUCUUUGCGUAUACGUAUACGUCAUAUAAUUCACGAGAACUGAGCUGCCCACUUCAUUGUAUCACCAGACGAAGAACUUAACGUACACAAUUUCUCAGGAUGCAGAUACUUUAACUAACAUUCCACAAACCAUAAUAUAUACAAUCUUAAUAUCGUCAUUUACUCCUGCCCUCAUCAGAUAAGCAUUAGUUUUUGUAGACUAGCUUUCUAAUAGAAAAUGGUAUUCCCUGGAUUUGGUGGCUGGAUCAAUCAGAAUAUUCAACAGCCCCUUAAGGUCAGUUCAUUUCCACCAAUCAAAAGACCCUUGGAAGUCUAAUAUAUCCGUUAAUUAACUGCAAAGAUCAGAUCAUGAUUACGUUUGUUGUUGUAGACGUCCAAGAGAUCUAAGAAUGGUAAAUCUAGAUCAGCUUCAGAAGAAGAAGACGAUAGGUAUCUUCAGGGACCAUGGUAUUGGGUUCCUGAUUUAAGCCCUAAAGAAAAGGUAACUAAUAGCAAUUCAGCAAUCAAAUAUCAAAUACUUGUGUUGGUGGUUAAUUAUGUAAAUGAGAUAACGAUUCGUCUUUUUUAUUUCUUUUGUAGGCCCAAUCCUUGGAAUUAGACCAUGUUAAAUCUAUGCCACUGAUGGCUAUCGAUCCAAUCAGAAUACAAAUUAAGUAAAUGUUAUUUUCUAUUUAAAUAAUAAACUAUUUAUUAGUUUAAUAUCUAUUGUUCUCCUAGGUCUUUCUAAUCUAUAUCCCUAAUGCUUUCUUCAAAACUGUAACCCAUGGAUGAAGAUUCACCCUUCAGAUUCGGGAAUUGCCAGAAUUUAGGAAAAUUGGUCUUGAAACGUCUUUCACUCUUUUUCUUUUUGAAGGUGAAAACAAGAAAGGGUAUUUGCCAUUUAAACAUAGAUUUCACAUUGGGAUCUCCUCCUCAAUAUUUCUCUCUCUAUAUAUAGUACUCUCCCAACUAACACGCCACUAUCUUUAUCACUCCCGUUGCACAAGUACCUGCACAAGAAUGGUUCUUAAAGGCUUUAAAUCCAUCGUAACCCCUCCUAGCGUCUUCUUGGACGACUUGGUUCCCGGUUUUCAAGAUCGACGACAAGGUAAGGCAUGAUACUCUGAAUCCCUUAUAUGUCUAAUCACUACAGCAUGAGAUUUUUUUCUAAGGCUGUUACUGCGUCAAGGGAAAAGGGAUUACUCAAGAGAUUCUUCUACACAAAUAAAAGAAUGGAAAACUCUUCUUCGGGCACCAUCAAGCAAUAGAAAAAAGAAAAAGAAAAAGAAGCUAAACUAAAAGAAUCGGAGUAUUAAAUGUUUGGAGUAUCUCCAAUGAGGAUCAAUAUCUAGCCAUCCACCUCACUAAAAAUAAUCGACCAAUCAGAAUACAAAUUAAGUAAAUGUUAUUUUCUAUUUAAAUAAUAAACUAUUUAUUAGUUUAAUAUCUAUUGUUCUCCUAGGUCUUUCUAAUCUAUAUCCCUAAUGCUUUCUUCAAAACUGUAACCCAUGGAUGAAGAUUCACCCUUCAGAUUCUCCUUCUCCUUCAUUUCUCUCUCUAUAUAUAGUACUCUCCCAACUAACACGCCACUAUCUUUAUCACUCCCGUUGCACAAGUACCUGCACAAGAAUGGUUCUUAAAGGCUUUAAAUCCAUCGUAACCCCUCCUAGCGUCUUCUUGGACGACUUGGUUCCCGGUUUUCAAGAUCGACGACAAGGUAAGGCAUGAUACUCUGAAUC